CAAUAGCGUAUAUUAACGUUGUUGCAGUUAAAAAGCUCGUAGUUGGAUUUCUGGAGGGAGCGUCGGCCCGUAUUUACGAGUGCGUGACGUCUCUGUCCAUCCUUGCGGGAAGGCACGGCAUUGAUUUGUUGUGUCGGAUCGCAUCAUUUACUGUGAAAAAAUUAGAGUGUUCAAAGCAGGCUUUCGCUUGAAUACAUUAGCAUGGAAUAAUAAGAUAGGACUUUGGUGCUAUUUUGUUGGUUGAGCCUAAAAUAAUGAUUAAUAGGGAUAGUUGGGGGCACCUGUAUUGCGUUGUCAGAGGUGAAAUUCUUGGAUUUACGCAAGACAAACAGCUGCGAAAGCGUCUGCCAAGGAUGUUUUCAUUAA
RNAcentral lists this ribosomal RNA (366 nucleotides) under uncultured eukaryote. RNAcentral's name for it is "partial 18S ribosomal RNA". It matches the Rfam family "Eukaryotic small subunit ribosomal RNA", at positions 592 to 976 of the family's 1831-position model. The record is from RNAcentral.